CUAUACAUGACUCUGCGCAUAUCAAUAAGCGGAGGAAAAGAAACUAACAAGGAUUCCCUUAGUAACGGCGAGUGAAGCGGGAAGAGCUCAAAUUUGAAAUCUUAAAGGUUUUCCCUUGACGAAUUGUAGUUUAAAGAAGUGUUUUCUGUUGAAGGUUUUGGUAAAAGUUCUUUGGAAUAGGACAUCAUAGAGGGUGAGAAUCCCGUAUUUGACCAUUAUUUUCAGCUUUGUGAUACACUUUCAAAGAGUCGGAUUGUUUGGGAAUGCAGUCCAAAAUGGGUGGUAAAUUUCAUCUAAAGCUAAAUAUUGGCGAGAGACCGAUAGCGAACAAGUACCGUGAGGGAAAGAUGAAAAGAACUUUGAAAAGAGAGUUAAACAGUACGUGAAAUUGUCAAAAGGGAAGCGUUUGACACCAGUGUUGUUUUUCUGAAAAUCAAUUAAAGAACUGUUUAUGCUAAGUUGUUUAGACUUUAUCAGCUAACUGUUUAGUUUUGAGCUUUUCUUUAAUGCACUUUUCAGUUAACAAGUCAACAUCAAUUUCUUUUGCUGUAAAAAAGCUUGAGGAAGGUGGCUUGAGAUUCGUCUUAAGUGUUUAUAGCCUCUUGCCUAUGCAGUCGGAGAGAUUGAGGUCUGCAGCGUAGAUCCUUCGGGGCUAAAUGCAUUUGUGCUAAGUUAUAGCAUUUUAUAGACAACUUGUUGACUAUGAUUUGUCUUGUAGCUUACUCGCUUAUGUUAUUUUACCUACGCUUAGGAUGUUGACAGCAGUAUAGACUGU
This 775-nucleotide ribosomal RNA is filed under the name uncultured Neocallimastigales. RNAcentral's name for it is "partial large subunit ribosomal RNA". It matches the Rfam family "Eukaryotic large subunit ribosomal RNA", at positions 22 to 637 of the family's 3401-position model. The record is from RNAcentral. Lineage: Eukaryota; Fungi; Neocallimastigomycota; Neocallimastigomycetes; Neocallimastigales.